AAAGUCGCUUACUGUAAGGGUGGCAUCUAAGGACUGAUAGUUGGGAAAGUCCGAGGCCUUGAGUACGUAUCCAGUUUCAUUAAUAUCACGGAACUUCAUAUAGAGCAGCUCUCGGGCUGGCCCUGGAUAAAGUUCCAGGUAGUUGGAGGCUGUUUUUUUCUUGUGGGACUCUCUUGAAACUUCUUAUGUGAUCCAUAUUGUGGUAUUGACUUGAUGACAUCAUCUUAAAGCUUUUCGGAAGAACUGAGAGCAACACUUGGAAAGAUCCAUAAAUAAUAUCUGAAGUGAGGAUACUACUUUGGGAUGGAACACCAGAAAAAAGAGAUUGUAUAUCCUGAACCAGAUAUGUGUGUUAAAAAAGACCUUUUCAUAGAUCUAAACCCAAGUAUAGUGAAGCUUAAAGGGACACUAAACCCAAAUUAUUUCUUUAAUGAUUCAGAUAGAGCAUGGAAUUUUUAGCAACUUUCUAAUUUACUCAGAUUAUCAUUUUUCUUCGUUAUCUUUAUUUAAAAGGUAGGAAUGCUAAGCUUAGGAGACGGCCCAUUUUUGGUUCAGAACCUGGGUUAUGCUUGCUUAUUGGUUUGCUAAAUGUAGCCACCAAUAACCAAGCUCUAUCCAUGGUGCUGAACCUAUAAUGGGCUGACUGCUAAGCAUUACAUUCCUGCGUUUUAAAUAAAGAUAGUAAGAGAACGAAGAAAAAUUGAUAGGAGUAAAUUAGAAAGUUGCUAAAAAUCUCAUGCUCUAUCUGAAUCAUGAAAGAAAAAAAAAUUAAAUUUAGUAUCCCUUUUAAGGACCAAAAAAACUGACAAGAGAGGGCAAGGGGAACGUUGUUAAUUAAAAAUGUUUCACCUUUACUACAUUUUAUAAAAGUACAUUUAACAUU
Long non-coding RNA from Bombina bombina (fire-bellied toad), 883 nucleotides. RefSeq lists it as uncharacterized. The transcript has 2 exons. Lineage: Eukaryota; Metazoa; Chordata; Amphibia; Anura; Bombinatoridae. The record is from RefSeq and is a predicted model, not a curated record.